GUGCCCAGGAGCUGAAAUGUAACACCCUUUUAUGCAACUUGCUGGAGAAGUGCCUGCAGAGCGAAACCAGACUGAACAGGGUGAGAAGCGACCUGCGCGAUUUGCUCUCACUCCAGGACCACGAAGAGGCAGCAAAAGUGGCCUCCAGAGGAGUUGCGAUGGGGAGGAAAGAAGAAAAAAGACAAGCAUUAGAACAACAAAAGUGAUACAAUGUUGCUGGAACAUGCAUUUAACAAACCUCCAUUAUACUUAUUAAUGCGCUUCUGCAUGUGUGUUUGUAAAUGGUCUGCAAUGUAUAUACUGAUCUUUACUUAAAGGUCAUGGGUUUUCAGAAUAAAACCUUAAACAAA
Molecule: long non-coding RNA, 350 nt
Organism: Spea bombifrons (plains spadefoot toad)
Lineage: Eukaryota; Metazoa; Chordata; Amphibia; Anura; Pelobatidae
Exons: 2
Source: RefSeq, a predicted model, not a curated record